AGGCUUAACACAUGCAAGUCGAACGGAGAUGUUUAUUUCGGUAGACAUCUUAGUGGCGGACGGGUGAGUAACGCGUGAGCAACCUUUCCCAGACAGGGGAAUAACACACCGAAAGGUGUACUAAUACCGCAUAAGACCACGGGAUCACAUGGUUCUGGGGUAAAAGAAUUAUCGGUUUGGGGUGGGCUCGCGUCCGAUUAGGUAGUUGGUGAGGUAACGGCCCACCAAGCCGACCGAAUCCCGGUAGCCGACCUCGUAGGAGGGUGACCGGCCACAUUGGGACUGAGACUACGGCCCACGACGUCCG
RNAcentral lists this ribosomal RNA (307 nucleotides) under uncultured bacterium. RNAcentral's name for it is "bacterial SSU rRNA". It matches the Rfam family "Bacterial small subunit ribosomal RNA", at positions 46 to 343 of the family's 1533-position model. The record is from RNAcentral.